This 492-nucleotide ribosomal RNA is filed under the name uncultured bacterium. RNAcentral describes it as "partial 16S ribosomal RNA". It matches the Rfam family "Bacterial small subunit ribosomal RNA", at positions 28 to 507 of the family's 1533-position model. The record is from RNAcentral.
GGUGAACGCUGGCGGUAGGCCUAACACAUGCAAGUCGAACGGCAGCACAGUAAGAGCUUGCUCUUACGGGUGGCGAGUGGCGGACGGGUGAGGAAUACAUCGGAAUCUACUUUUUCGUGGGGGAUAACGUAGGGAAACUUACGCUAAUACCGCAUACGACCUACGGGUGAAAGCAGGGGAUCUUCGGACCUUGCGCGAUUGAAUGAGCCGAAGUCGGAUUAGCUAGUUGGCGGGGUAAAGGCCCACCAAGGCGACGAUCCGUAGCUGGUCUGAGAGGAUGAUCAGCCACACUGGAACUGAGACACGGUCCAGACUCCUACGGGAGGCAGCAGUGGGGAAUAUUGGACAAUGGGCGCAAGCCUGAUCCAGCCAUACCGCGUGGGUGAAGAAGGCCUUCGGGUUGUAAAGCCCUUUUGUUGGGAAAGAAAAGCAGCAGGUUAAUACCCCGCUGUUCUGACGGUACCCAAAGAAUAAGCACCGGCUAACUUCGUG